AAUUGUAGUAAAUUUCAAAGUUCAAGGAAUAUUUAUCUAAAAAUAGUUUAGGGCGCAAUUGUAAAAAAUGGUAAAGUUUGAGGUUUUUUUUGCAUUUUUACUGUUAAAAUUAACGAUGGAAUAGACGGCAGGGUGCAAUUAUAAAAAAGUUUAAAAUUUAGGAUAUUUUUAUUAAAAAAAAUUUUGAGGUCAAAUGGCAAAAAACCCUCAAACUUCAUAAUCUUUUUUAGAUAUUAUCCCUAAAAUUAAUUUGAUUAUAUUUUUUGGAUUCAGAAUCUAAAUCAAAUUAUGCAAUCAUAUAACACGAGAGGGAAAGAAAUUGACCUCUUUGUCCAAAUAUUGGUCCUCUGGUGGUCCCAUGCUUUGAAGUUUGAGCAGUAGACAAUCCAUUAAUGAGCUCUGAUCCAAAUUAAUGCAUUUGCUAAGAUCCAAAUCCCAAAAGGAAGUCAUAUAUCGUAGUAUGAAUGAGCUCGAUAUAAACCUCAGCGAUGUGCAGUUUUGUGCUUCUAACCAUUUUAGAGAUGAUGGAAGCUCUGGCAAAAAUUGAAGCCUCUUGCAAUCUCUUAAAUCAAGUGACGUCAACA
This 584-nucleotide unclassified non-coding RNA is filed under the name Hevea brasiliensis (rubber tree). The record is from RNAcentral. Lineage: Eukaryota; Viridiplantae; Streptophyta; Magnoliopsida; Malpighiales; Euphorbiaceae.